RNAcentral lists this ribosomal RNA (518 nucleotides) under Nannoperca oxleyana. RNAcentral describes it as "partial 16S ribosomal RNA". It matches the Rfam family "Bacterial large subunit ribosomal RNA", at positions 1919 to 2578 of the family's 2925-position model. Lineage: Eukaryota; Metazoa; Chordata; Actinopteri; Centrarchiformes; Percichthyidae. The record is from RNAcentral.
UAUGUUUAACGGCCGCGGUAUUUUAACCGUGCGAAGGUAGCGCAAUCACUUGUCUCUUAAAUGGGGACCUGUAUGAAUGGCAUAACGAGGGCUUAACUGUCUCCUUUUUCAAGUCAAUGAAAUUGAUCUCCCCGUGCAGAAGCGGGCAUAAUAACAUAAGACGAGAAGACCCUAUGGAGCUUUAGACACCAAGGCAGAUCCUGUUAAGUAUACCUUUAAUAAAGGAUCAAACCAAAAGAAGCCUGCCCUAAUGUCUUCGGUUGGGGCGACCGCGGGGAAACAAAAAUCCCCCACGUGGAAUGGGAGGUUCCUAUUUUUUACCUCCUAAAACUAAGAGCCCCCGCUCUAGUAAACAGAAUUUCUGACCAAAAAUGAUCCGGCAAUGCCGAUCAACGGACCAAGUUACCCUAGGGAUAACAGCGCAAUCCUCUUUUAGAGCCCAUAUCGACAAGAGGGUUUACGACCUCGAUGUUGGAUCAGGACAUCCUAAUGGUGCAGCCGCUAUUAAGGGUUCGUUU